AUCCAACCAAUAGUUCAGUUGGUUAGAGCUUGGUGCUGAUUAUGCCAAGGUUGCAGGUUCGAUCCCCUUAUGGGACA
Molecule: non-coding RNA, 77 nt
Organism: Podarcis lilfordi (Lilford's wall lizard)
Lineage: Eukaryota; Metazoa; Chordata; Lepidosauria; Squamata; Lacertidae
Source: the annotation of a GenBank genome assembly